This 582-nucleotide small RNA is filed under the name Pongo abelii (Sumatran orangutan). RNAcentral's name for it is "retained intron". Lineage: Eukaryota; Metazoa; Chordata; Mammalia; Primates; Hominidae. The record is from RNAcentral.
CUCUGCUCUGAAGAAAGUGCUGUCUGGCUCCAACUCCAGUUCUUGCCCCUGAGCAGCGCCUGGAACCUAACCCUUCCCACUCUGUCACCUUCUCGAUCCCGCCGGCGCUUUAGAGCCGCAGUCCAGCCUUGGAUCCUCAGAGCCUCAGCCACUAGCUGCGAUGCAUGUGAUCAAGCGAGAUGGCCGCCAAGAGCGAGUUAUGUUUGACAAAAUUACAUCUCGAAUCCAGAAGCUUUGCUAUGGACUCAAUAUGGAUUUUGUUGAUCCUGCUCAGAUCACCAUGAAAGUAAUCCAAGGCUUGUACAGUGGGGUCACCACAGUGGAACUAGAUACUUUGGCUGCUGAAACAGCUGCAACCUUGACUACUAAGCACCCUGACUAUGCUAUCCUGGCAGCCAGGAUCGCUGUCUCUAACUUGCACAAAGAAACAAAGAAAGUGUUCAGUGAUGUGAUGGAAGACCUCUAUAACUACAUAAAUCCACAUAAUGGCAAACACUCUCCCAUGGUGGCCAAGUCAACAUUGGAUAUUGUUCUGGCCAAUAAAGAUGUAUGUAUAACACUUUUCUGGUGGAAAUUUUUUGA